Molecule: long non-coding RNA, 935 nt
Filed under: Haliotis rufescens (red abalone)
Lineage: Eukaryota; Metazoa; Mollusca; Gastropoda; Lepetellida; Haliotidae
Description: uncharacterized LOC125377406, transcript variant X1
Source: RNAcentral
GCCAUUGCUAGUAGGUCACUGCAAGACAGCCAUUGCUAGUAGGUUACUGCGGGAUAGCCGUUGCUAGGUAAGUCACUGCAAGAUAGCCAUUGCUAGGUAAGUCACUGCAAGAUAGCCAUUGCUAGUAGGUCACUGCAAGACAGCCAUUGCUAGUAGGUUACUGCGGGAUAGCCGUUGCUAGGUAAGUCACUGCAAGAUAGCCAUUGCUAGGAGGUUACUGUGGGAUAGCCGUUGCUAGGUAGGUCACUGCAGGACAGACGUUACUAGGUAAGUCACUGCAAGAUAGCCAUUGCUAGUAGGUUACUGCGGGAUAGACUUUGCUAGGUAGGUCACUGCAGGACAGACAUUACUAGGUAAGUCACUGCAAGAUAGCCAUUGCUAUUAGGUUACUGCGGGAUAUACGUUGCUAGGUAGGUCACUGCAGGAAAGAUGUUACUCGGUAAGUCACUGCAAGAUAGCCAUUGCUAGUAGGUUACUGCAUAGCCGUUAGGUAAGUCACUGCAAGAUAGCCAUUGCUAGUAGGUUACUGUGGGAUAGACAUUGCUAGGUAGGUCACUGCGGGACAGACGUUGCUAGGUAGGUCACUGCAGGACAAAUGUUGCAAGCUAGGUCACCUAAGGACAGCCAUUGCAAGAUAUGUCACUGUAGGACAUGGUUGCUUGGUAGGUCACUGCAGGACAAAUAUUUGCAUGAUACAAAUAUAUCCAAUACAGCCCAUGCAAGUCUAUAAUGUUUAUCAAGUCUAGAUUACUGCAGUAUCAUAAAGAGUCUCUGGGCUCCUUUUUAUUAUAUUUAUAUUAAGAUACUAGAUGCUAGUCUAGUCACUGCAGGACAACUGUUGCAAUGUUUUGUCAUUUGGGCUUGUUUCACAUUUUCUACAAAAUACCGACAAUAAUCUAAGUGUGAACAACAGGAACUUAAACUGUCUGAUUUGA